ACUCCUACGGGAGGCAGCAGUGGGGAAUAUUGCACAAUGGGCGCAAGCCUGAUGCAGCCAUGCCGCGUGUAUGAAGAAGGCCUUCGGGUUGUAAAGUACUUUCAGCAGUGAGGAAGGUGGAUAUGUUAAUAGCAUACUCAUUUGACGUUAGCUGCAGAAGAAGCACCGGCUAACUCCGUGCCAGCAGCCGCGGUAAUACGGAGGAUGCAAGCGUUAUCCGGAUUCAUUGGGUUUAAAGGGUGCGUAGGCGGGAAGUGUAAGUCAGGGGUGAAAGUUUGCAGCUCAACUGUAAAAUUGCCUUUGAUACUGCAUUUCUUGAGUACAUUUGAGGUAGGCGGAAUGUGUUGUGUAGCGGUGAAAUGCUUAGAUAUAACACAGAACACCGAUUGCGAAGGCAGCUUACUAAACUGUAACUGACGCUGAUGCACGAAAGCGUGGGGAUCGAACAGGAUUAGAUACCCUGGUAGGCUCUG
This 473-nucleotide ribosomal RNA is filed under the name uncultured bacterium. Its description in RNAcentral is "bacterial SSU rRNA". It matches the Rfam family "Bacterial small subunit ribosomal RNA", at positions 335 to 799 of the family's 1533-position model. The record is from RNAcentral.